UCACAAAUACUUCCCACACCAGAUCCCACCACGAACACAAUCAACUUAAAUUACUGAGAGUUCAACCACGCAGACAGUAAAGACAAGGACUCAGAGUAAUACAGUAUCCGAUUAUAUCAAUAACGAGGGGCCAUUCAUUCGUGAAAUCACUGUGUCACUUCGGGCUAAAAUCAUGUUUGAAAUCACAAGAAAUCUCAUGAAAUCGGUGGAAGUUAAUUGCAAUCAGAGAAAUUCUGGGAUUUCAUCGAUUUCAGGUGACUGCAAAUGAAAUCACAUGAAAUCAGUGAAAUGCCAUGCAAUCAGUGAAAUCGCAUGAACAAUAACACCAAAAAAUAAAUAGAAAAUCGUCCGCAGAUGAGACAAAAAAAAUUCGAAUGUAUUAAAUAGGUGAAAUAUACACGGAAUAUUUUCGAUGAAUUCAACGUGUUUUGCAUCGAGGUGUUAACCAACUUUUGUUUUCAACUCCGGACGCUUUUUCUACGGGGAAAAAAACAAAGACACAACGCGAGAGUAUCGACUCAUGAAAUUCUUAGAGAAAAUCGAUCGACGAAUUUUCCCAGAAUCCGCGUUUGAACUGGCAAUUUCGACCACACGCGAAGUAGUACAGUUAUUAACGAAACGUCGUCAGCGGUGCGUCAUCAAUUGUAUGUAAUAAGUUGUAUCUACGUGAGCCGAAAAAUGUAUGAAACGGAUUUUUUUGAAGGCGAAAAAUUCAGGGAGGUUGUGAGGAGUGAUACAGGGAUUAAUUUGUCGAUACAUGUGAAGUUAAUUUUGAAAUUUAGUGGCUUGGAUCAUCCCGUUGCUUUCGAGGGAAUCACAGUAGAAACCAUUGAUGGGGUGGAAAUGCACGCGAGGGAUAUUUUGAAGGACAUAUUAGAUCCCAACGAGAAUUUACAGUUGGUUUAUGGUCCUUAUCAUAAAAAACCCGAGAAAUUUAAAUUCAACGCUGGGGAGCGUACUAUGAUAAUGAAACUUGUACAGUUAGUAACAGAAAAAAUCCCGGAUUUUUGGAGGCCUAAGAAAGAGAAGACUCUAGAGACUCGACCAAAGACAGCGACAAAAAUGCCAUUGACGCUGUCCGGUCAUGAGAAUAUUGAUCUUGAACGCCAGAAACUUAUUAAAAGGAUAGAAAAUGUGAUUAAUACGUUUUUUGAAAAAGAAAAUUUCAUUGAACGGGGAGUCGUGCCACGAGUCUCAGUCGACGACUUAUCUGUUAAAGUAACGGUGGUUGAGCAGUACCAAAGAGAGAAUUUACCUCAAUCAUUCUGAUAUGCGGCGAAAAUUAAGUGCAUUUUCUGUUCAGCUGUUACGGAACUAACGAAAGUUUCAGCUACCGUGAAAACUGGUAGUCGUUGGGUAGUGACAAAUUAUGAAAGACACUUGAAGAGUUGUAAUACGAAGAGGAAAAGAUCAGUUACCACAGAUACAGCCCAACCUACACUCACACAACUGAGUAAAAGAAUGAAAAAGAACGAUGAGGAAAGACACCUUUAAAAAUCUACAAUAUCCGAGACAUCAAGAUCCUUUUUGCCAGAAUCAACAAAGGUGCAUUGAGAAUUAAAAGUGGAGGAUCAGCUGGAGAAGCCUCCAAAUGCAUCAGGGACAUAGCAUGGUGUAUCACCAGAAUCGCGUGGAAGUGAAGAAAAUGAUGAGUCCCUACACACAAACUCGUUAGACUCGAUGUUGGACCAUACGACAUUGUCCAUGCCGUCUCCAAUCAGAGCUCCACUGGAGCCUCUGAUGUACUCAACGAUUCAAUCAUCUCAGGUGUCGAAUAACGAAGCAUCGAUUCAGUCCAGGGUACAAUUAUCAACCCAAAAAUCCAUCGAUCAGGAAGUACAACUCCCCACUUCGAUUUCAUCCACUCUCAGACAAUCUUUAAAUAUAAUUAAUAAUCCGGAUUCGGGCAAUAUUGAAUCAGGGCGAUUGUCGAACAAAUCUUCCUGAUCAGAUAAUUGCGAAAGUUCGAAAGCGUGACAAUUCCCGGCGGCUCGAAAUGCUAAAAAGCUGCAUUUGUCAAUUACCGGAAAUCAGUCAAUCAUCACAAGUUAUUUUCCAAUUUUUGAGAAAGUACACAGGCUCAUACUCGAGAGUAACAAAUUAAAUCAAAUUAUUACGUCUUUCCUAGAAAAUAGAAAUAAUCAGCCUGGCAAUAUACCGUCAAAAGAAGAUAAGUAUGAAUUUUUAAAGAAUCUGCAGCAGGUGGCGACUGGACAGUGUCAAGGUAGGGGUAAUCAGCGAUAUGACGAUGGCCUAAAACUUUUCUGUUCGUAUUUAAUCACAAUUGGUGAAAAAUUAAUGUAUGAAACAUUACACGCGAAUCUUCCCAUUCCUUCAACAUUUUGCAACGUUCUGAACUUCCAGAUGUCAAUAAACUCAUACAAACGAUAGAAAUUGCUACAAAAGAUGCGGUCGAUGCUGUUAAGGAGUUGGGCAUGGAGAUGGAGAUUUCGGAUUGUUUAAAAAUCUCUGCGAAAUUGAUGGAAAAUGAAGAAUUCUUUGCUAAAGAUCUGGAUGGUUUAGAUAAUGUUGAGGGUGAAAAUGAUGAAGAGGUGCGGAAUGCGGGGGAUGAGAUUGACUCAACAGGAGAGUUGGCAGAAUUGUUGAGAGCCUCAACAAAUCUUUCUGGUGUUACAGACCCUCUAGAAUUGAGAAGCGUUAAUAAGGAGAAAACUAGUCUCCCGAGAGUCCGUUUACUAUUGUGACACAUAAGUCAGGUACAACGUCUGAAAUACGUAAAUCUUCAUUGUGUUGGCUUUUUGAUAAAGGACAUUCGCAGUUGAGCACUGAUAGAUUAGGAAGAGUUAUAGUGGCUGAAUUGAUGAAAUACGACAAGACUAGAAAGAUUUCAAGCGUUGAAAACGAAGGGACUCGCAUCAUUAGACAAUGUGAUGGAAUAAGCAUAGGCGAUUGGUGCCUAUUCAAGGAAAAGAAUUAUAAAACUUGUUUAUUAGGAUUGGUGUUGAGUUUUGUUUAUUUCGAUGGGAGAACAAUAAAAUCUCGAGAGUUCUCAGGAUCAUAUGCUCGUGUACAGGGUAAUGUUAAAGAAAUAGGUGUACUUUGUACCUGGUAUAUUUUAAAGAAACAAACAAAGAUUUUUGAAAUGCAGCCAAUGACUACUGAUGGCUAUACAGGAUGUCCCAAAACUGAACGUCCAAACUUUAAAGUUAAGUUGGGGGUGAAAUUCUGGAUCGAAAAGUCCUGAGCGACUUUUUGUUCAGACGCACCCUUUUCAACUUAUUGAGGGUUGAAGUUGGACGAAUCAGGGGCGUGGGGUAACUGGUCGCACGACGGUGAGGAAAACGUGCGAGUGUGGUGGUGUCCCCACCAUGCGGUACUACUUUCCUGCGGCGGCAGAAAGAGAUGCCUGGUGGCGGCGGGUAAGAGGAAGGGGAGGGAAAUGAAAAAAUAUAUAAAGACGUUGUCAAAUAUUUUUAGUUCUACAUUGUUUGUCCUUUACUGAGACGUGAAGAUUUCAUUUCAUUUAGUUUAAUUCAGUUCAGUAUGUCAGAGAUAUACUUUAUUUUACUAUGUGAAUAAAUUAUUUAUUGAAAAAGAUUGCCA
Diachasmimorpha longicaudata is the source of this 3564-nucleotide RNA transcript. RefSeq lists it as uncharacterized. The record is from RefSeq and is a predicted model, not a curated record. The transcript has 3 exons. Lineage: Eukaryota; Metazoa; Arthropoda; Insecta; Hymenoptera; Braconidae.